GAUGAACGCUGGCGGCGUGCCUAAUACAUGCAAGUCGAGCGAACAGACGAGGAGCUUGCUCCUCUGACGUUAGCGGCGGACGGGUGAGUAACACGUAGGUAACCUACCUAUAAGACUGGGAUAACUUCGGGAAACCGGAGCUAAUACCGGAUAAUAUUUCGAACCGCAUGGUUCGAUAGUGAAAGAUGGCUUUGCUAUCACUUAUAGAUGGACCUGCGCCGUAUUAGCUAGUUGGUAAGGUAACGGCUUACCAAGGCAACGAUACGUAGCCGACCUGAGAGGGUGAUCGGCCACACGGGAACUGAGACACGGUCCAGACUCCUACGGGAGGCCGCAGUAGGGAAUCUUCCGCAAUGGGCGAAAGCCUGACGGAGCAACGCCGCGUGAGUGAUGAAGGUCUUCGGAUCGUAAAACUCUGUUAUUAGGGAAGAACAAACGUGUAAGUAACUGUGCACGUCCUGACGGUACCUAAUCAGAAAGCCACGGCUAACUACGUG
This 497-nucleotide ribosomal RNA is filed under the name uncultured bacterium. RNAcentral describes it as "partial 16S ribosomal RNA". It matches the Rfam family "Bacterial small subunit ribosomal RNA", at positions 28 to 507 of the family's 1533-position model. The record is from RNAcentral.